RNAcentral lists this unclassified non-coding RNA (329 nucleotides) under soil metagenome. RNAcentral describes it as "partial contains 5.8S ribosomal RNA, internal transcribed spacer 2, and large subunit ribosomal RNA". The stretch from base 1 to 120 matches the Rfam family "5.8S ribosomal RNA", at positions 35 to 154 of the family's 154-position model. The record is from RNAcentral.
GAUGAAGAACGUAGCGAAAUGCGAUAAGUAAUGUGAAUUGCAGAUUUCAGUGAAUCAUCGAAUCUUUGAACGCACAUUGCGCCCCCUGGUAUUCCGGGGGGCAUGCCUGUCCGAGCGUCAUUACAACCCUCAAGCUCAGCUUGGUGUUGGGCCCCGCCGCCCCGGCGGGCCCUAAAGUCAGUGGCGGUGCCGUCCGGCUCCGAGCGUAGUAAUUCUUCUCGCUCUGGAGGUCCGGUCGUGUGCUCGCCAGCAACCCCCAAUUUUUUUCAGGUUGACCUCGGAUCAGGUAGGGAUACCCGCUGAACUUAAGCAUAUCAAUAAGCGGAGGA